RNAcentral lists this ribosomal RNA (1506 nucleotides) under Mesoplasma tabanidae. Its description in RNAcentral is "16S ribosomal RNA". It matches the Rfam family "Bacterial small subunit ribosomal RNA". Lineage: Bacteria; Bacillati; Mycoplasmatota; Mollicutes; Entomoplasmatales; Entomoplasmataceae. The record is from RNAcentral.
GGCUCAGGAYRAACGCUGGCGGCAUGCCUAAUACAUGCAAGUCGAACGGAGGUGCUUGCACCUCAGUGGCGAACGGGUGAGUAACACGUAUCUAAUCUACCUUCUAGCGGGGGAUAACUUUUGGAAACGAAAGGUAAUACCGCAUGUGGAUGUUAUUAUCGCAUGAGAAAACAUUCAAAGAUCCGUUUGGAUCACUAGAAGAUGAGGAUGCGGCGUAUUAGCUAGUAGGCGGGGUAAARGCCCACCUAGGCGAUGAUACGUAGCCGAACUGAGAGGUUGAUCGGCCACAUUGGGACUGAGAUACGGCCCAGACUCCUACGGGAGGCAGCAGUAGGGAAUUUUUCACAAUGGACGAAAGUCUGAUGAAGCAAUGCCGCGUGAGUGAUGACGGCCUUCGGGUUGUAAAGCUCUGUUGUAAGGGAAGAAAACAUAGGAGAGGAAAUGCUCUUAUCUUGACGGUACCUUACCAGAAAGCCACGGCUAACUAUGUGCCAGCAGCCGCGGUAAUACAUAGGUGGCAAGCGUUAUCCGGAUUUAUUGGGCGUAUAGGGUGCGUAGGCGGUUUCGCAAGUUUGAGGUUAAAGCCCGGAGCUCAACUCCGGUUCGCCUUGAAAACUGCGGGACUAGAAUAUCAGAGAGGUAAGCGGAAUUCCAUGUGUAGCGGUAAAAUGCGUAGAUAUAUGGAAGAACACCAGUGGCGAAAGCGGCUUACUGGCUGAUUAUUGACGCUGAGGCACGAAAGCGUGGGGAGCAAAUAGGAUUAGAUACCCUAGUAGUCCACGCCGUAAACGUUGAGUACUAAGUAUUGGGGAUUACCUCAGUGCUGCAGCUAACGCAUUAAGUACUCCGCCUGAGUAGUAUGCUCGCAAGAGUGAAACUCAAAGGAAUUGACGGGGACCCGCACAAGUGGUGGAGCAUGUGGUUUAAUUCGAAGCAACACGAAGAACCUUACCAGGGCUUGACAUACAGUGCAAAGCUACAGAGAUGUAGUGGAGGUUAACAUUGAUACAGGUGGUGCAUGGUUGUCGUCAGUUCGUGCCGUGAGGUGUUGGGUUAAGUCCCGCAACGAACGCAACCCUUGUCGUUAGUUACUAACAUUAAGUUGAGGACUCUAACGAGACUGCUAGUGUAAGCUAGAGGAAGGUGGGGAUGACGUCAAAUCAUCAUGCCCCUUAUGUCCUGGGCUACACACGUGCUACAAUGGCCGAUACAAAGAGUCGCAAUCUCGCGAGRGGGAGCUAAUCUCAAAAAGUCGGUCUCAGUUCGGAUUGAAGUCUGCAACUCGACUUCAUGAAGCCGGAAUCACUAGUAAUCGCGAAUCAGCUAUGUCGCGGUGAAUACGUUCUCGGGUCUUGUACACACCGCCCGUCAAACCACGAGAGUUGGUAAUACCAGAAGUACGUUUCCUAACCGUAAGGAAGGCGCGUCCCAAGGUAGGACUAGCGAUUGGGGUUAAGUCGUAACAAGGUAUCCGUACGGGAACGUGCGGRUGGAUCACCUCCUUUC